RNAcentral lists this long non-coding RNA (245 nucleotides) under Phoenix dactylifera (date palm). RNAcentral's name for it is "long non-coding RNA (PDAC_LNC006534)". The record is from RNAcentral. Lineage: Eukaryota; Viridiplantae; Streptophyta; Magnoliopsida; Arecales; Arecaceae.
CUCUUCCAGGCACCUUCAUUCUUUGCAAAAUAGUGUUUAAUGGCAUCUUUUCUAUGGAAGCUACAUCCUUUCUAACUGCAGAAACGACCACCUCCUUCACACUAAACUUGUGUUUGCAGCCUAAUUUUGGUAUCUCUGAAUCAUGGCUUAUCACCUUUCCAAUUCCAAGCUCGGACUGGAGAGUUUUGAAUGGCAGGGCAUGUUUGUUCUCACAAUCUUCACCAAAACUUGGCUCCCCAAAGCCU